UCAAAAGCACUUUAAACUAUUGAAUUUAUUCCAAAGGGAGGCAUCAAUAUUAUCAUUUUUACUAUACAUACUCAGGCUAUAAAAUCAUAAAAGCUAACUUCAUGAAUCACAUGAGAAUGUCAAAUUCAUGACUUAUAGUCACCUUUAUUAAAUCAUUAGCCAUUGUAUUGGAUAUUUGCCCUGAGAUAAAAAUUGGAAGAGCAUCGCCCUUCGUCAUGAGAUUGGAAGGCCACAGAAGAGCUUGCCCCCUACUGUGGACUCUAGAGUGGUCUCCAAGGAUGCCACAUGUGCGGCACACGAAGCUGCACGCACACCUUGUACAUCCUUGGCUGGCAUUGCCCAUCAAUCCCGACACACCCACCUACCCAGGAGAACGGCAUAGCCUGAUAUAGCGCUCCAAGCAGCCGUGCUUGAAGUGGAGUUUGGAGGAAGGGGAACCCCACUGACCCCUGCCCCGAGCACUUGCUUUGUGCUGAAAAAAGUCUGGCACUGACAGGCCUCUGGUCACAGACUCCAGACUCAGGGGAAUUGACUAGGUCAGUUUUGGGGUAUAAUUUCAAAACUCAUCUGGACGGUACUGAAAUGCUCUGGAUGGGAUGGUUUCGAUUAGGCCUACGUGUCCUUCCUGGAACCUUGUUGGCCUUGUCUGAGCCCCUUGGGUGAGUGAUCUGAGCUGAUUCCAGUAUGCCAGGCCCUUCAGACAUUUGAGUCCUAUCUCAGAGGACCUGAGGGUAGAGGGAUGCAGACAGGAGAGAGUUCCCACAUCCUUGACCAUUCUCUCUGCCCCUUAGGCAGGUCUGGUGGCUGAAGGCUGCCCUGGGCCUGAAGAUGGAGCUGGGAGCCCCAAGAGCCUCUUUUCUUCUGCUUGUCAAUAGCAUUGUGCAGUUUGACCAUUUUCCUUUUGGAAAGCGACCACUUACUCUUACCUUCCAAGCGAGAAAACCUGUCAAUCAUGCAAUGGUGAAAACUCAUUAUUUGUAUAAAACAAACAACCCUAUAAGAACAAAUAUUUAAAUGUGAUGAAAUUUUGCUUUGGCUGGGAGUGUUAUCCGUUGAAUUAUGUUGCCCCAAAAUUCAUAGAUUUAAGUUCUAACACCCAGUACCUCAGAAUGUGACCUUGUUUGGAGAUAGGGUCUUUACAGAGGUAAUUAAGUUCAAACGAGAUCAUUAGGGUGGGCUCUAAUCCAAUAUGAUUGAUAUCCCUAUAAAAAGGGGAAAUUUGGACAGAGACACAUGUACAAGGAGAAUGCCAUGGAACGUGAAGAUGGCCAUCUACAAGCCAAAAAGGGAGCCUGGAAUAGAUCUUUCCCUCACAGCCCUCAAAAGGAACCAACCCUGCCGACAUCUUGAUUUCGGACUUCUAGCAUCCAGAAUUGUGAGAGAAUAUGUUUCUGCUGUUUAAGCCAUCCAGUCUGUGGUACUUUGUUACAGGCAGCCUUGGCACAGUAACACAGCGGGUUUCUAACCCAUCCAUCUAGGGUCUCCUCUGAAAGGCUGGCAUAUGGCCAACAUGGUGACACUCCCACAGAAACCAUUUUCCCUUCAGGCUAUGGCUUUCCCUCAGCAAGACCCCUGAGGCUGAGGGUGGUCUCUGAGCUGGGCUCCUGACCACACUGGCAGACUUCUAAACCCCAGGUGUGGGAUGGCCAGAUGGAUGGCCAAAGGCCUUGUGACCCCAUUCAGGCUCUGUCUCCUCCACUGCCUUCUUUCUUCAACUAGCUCUUCUUCAAACCAACCCCUUUCUGGCAUCCAAUCCCUCCCCAGUGUCAGUCUCAUCACCAAACAACCUCUAAACCACCGUGUCACAUUCCUUGAAAGUUUUCGCCUCUGGUUCCAGGGCUUCCUCUUCAUACCUUUAAUGCCCACACCAUUGGUCCCUCCAACACCGAGCCUUAUCAUGCCUCAGGACCUUCGAUUCCAAGGUUCCUUCCCCUCACCUCAGGUCCCACAAGUAUGGUCACAUCCUGGACCUUCUCCUCACCAGGAGCUACUCCUCUUCUGGCGUUUCCUCUUUUGCCACAACCUCCUGGCUUUCCUCCUCCCAGGCCCGUUGAACUUGUCCAUCUCACCGCCUUUAUCCCUUCUCAACACUGUUAAACUGGCAUCCAAGAAGAGCGAUCUCUGAGAGGCAGAGAUCCACUUUACAAUUCUGGGUCCUACUUCCCUGGUCAGACAUUACUUCUCAUCCACCACUCCCUCCUAAUGUCCACUUGGCCCCCAACCCCAGUCUUGGCAUCACUCACCUUUGAAUAAGACCACAGAUUCCGCUUUUUUGGGCUUGACCUUGAUCCUUCUCUCUAUAGAGUUUUUGCAUGCACCCUCAGUCUCUGUCUGUCCCCACAUCCCACUCACUAACUGGCCUUCCUAUUUGGCCCCGGGUCAGCCCUGUUAGUCUGCAUAGCUGGCCUCUCUACAGGAUCGGAUCAAACAAAAUCUAUUCUUCUGUGUCCCACAGACCCCAACCCUUGAUCUCCCUUCUAUAGGGUCUGUUAGUGGGUUCCCAUUACCUCCCACAUUGUCUUGCUUUUCCAUUCCUUCCAGCUGCUGCUCCAACCCUUGACACAUCCCUCCCUCAUGGAAGACAGCCUCCCCUCCUACUUAACGCCAGGGAAAAGGUGUGGCUGCCUCAUUACAUGAGUUCGUGAGAGUGGGAAUGCGUGUGUGACAGACUUCUGAGCAGUUAUAAAGCAGUGAUGUGAAGAAAGAGAGAGCCUUGGACGCUUACAGCCUGCAGGAGUUUCCAGUCCAGGGCCAGGUGCUUGAGAGACAUGCCGCUUUCACAGUCCCUGCUGCAGCAGGCGGAGCACAGCAGCCUGCAGCUUAAACUUGGCCUUAGCACUUUGGCCUAAGAACUUGAAACCUUCCCGAGAAGACGAGAAACAGGAAAACCUGGUGAGAGGGUGAAAGGUAGGCUCAGGGGCCAGCAACAUGGUUUCUCUGUAGCCCAAGACUUCUCAGGGAGGCAUCUGGGUGUAACACGUGGGCUCCAGCUGUCAGGUCCUGGGGAAACGUGUGUGGGCUCCUCUGUUAGCACUGCUCACUGUGGAUAUCAAAAUUGUUUUCAAGGGCUCCAAGCCAGUGGGUAAAGUGAGGUAUGGAUUUGGGGAGAAGGUCGUUCUCUCCCCUUGUGCUGAGGUCCCAGGUCCUCCCAGCACCUGGGGACAGGAGGCUCUGGGAGCAUCAGGGAUGGUUACUGUCACCCCUAACACUGUUGUUCUCAUGCAGGGCACUGGCAGGCCUGGCAGCAGCAGCUGGAGAGACAUAAAUGUGCCCACAGGGACCUGGAGUCGAAGAGGAAGAUGGCAGCCACCAUCAUUAGAGAGACCUCGUCACUUCGCUUACUCGGAACCGUGUUUAACCCUUCCAUGCCUACACCCACACACCCACAUAGCAUCAUACACACACACACCAUGCUCUCACACACACCCUCCUCAGGGCCCUGCUCCACCAUUAUCACCCUCCUCGUGCACCUCCAGACUUUUCUACCCCUUGGCCACGCUGCCUCCCCUACACAGGUAGUCCAGGCUCUCCCAACCAGGGACACUCGCCUGUCAAUACUUUCUUUCCAGCAGGGACUAUUGGCCUCCCUUCAUCAACACAGUCCUGGUAAAAGUUGUCUGUACUUCUGCCUCUCUCCUUGUCUUCAACCACUGCACCCUGGAUUUUGACCUUCAGCCAAAAUCACAACCAACUCCGAAUGGCUGGAUCCAGGGUUCUUUCCCAGGGUUUUUGUCAUAUCCAAAUGCUCAGCGGCAUUUGACUGACCAUACUUUCUUGGAACUCCAGCCUCCUUUGUUCCCCAGGCACCUCACUUUGGGUUCUCUUUUUUCUAACUGCUUUUUCCUCUUCCUCCAGCUGGUCUGCAAAUGGCACUACCCUCUCCAAAUUCCAUAUAAAUCCUCUCGUCUCCUUUCUCUACAACUGCCACCUGAGGGUGCCCGCUCCUGCAGCUUGAAGUACAAUCAGAAUCUCCAUUCUCAAAGCAGCUGAGCUCCAGACACCAGGUUCCUAACUGCCCACUGGGCACUUCUCCCCGGAGGCUGGACCCUUUCGGGCAUCUUAACCUCAGCCUGUUCAAAAUGGAACUUUUCUUUAUGUCCCUCCAAUGAAACGUUGAGGCAUAGAAGAAGGAACCUCACACCUUCCUCUUUACAAUCUCCAAAACAAGUGCGCAGCUUGGGGCUGGAGGUGCAUUUAGUGACAGUGUCACCACUACUGUUUUCUAACCACAGAUGAGUUAAGCCACAAUGCAGAUCAGCCAAAAGGAGAUGAAAAUUCUGACUGAAACUUUUAUGGAAAAAGAUUUACCAUGAUGAAAAGCGUUCAAAUUGUCCCAUUCUUUUCUCUAGGUAAUUACAUGUUAUAUUACCACUAAGUAUCAUCCCAAUCAUCAGACCAACACACUGAUUGGGUGAAAUGUUGUCCCUGUUGCAUGCCAGCUCUGUGCUGCAUAGCCUUCUUCUCUUUCUCCGCAUUCAUCAACAUCUUACCCAUCCAAACCCUUUUGGCAUGUUGCUUGUCUCUGUCUGACAUUGUUCAUGGACCACACCGAGGAGCACCCAGUUAUUCGGUUUGGAGUUUACAGACCAGGAUGUCAGUCGCAGACAGAUUACAGAUCUUUCCCCUCGUGUGAGUGGCUCUGCCUUGGCCACCCCAGAGAUGGACCCCUGACCAGGCUGGUCAAUCAGCACAUCCUUCUCCUUCAACACAGACAUGGGUCAGAGAUGGACUGCUUCCUGAAAACUCUGCCUCCUCAGCUUCUCUGAAUCAACCCAAGUCCACGACUGCUUCUGCUGCCCAUCCUAGGACCUCCAGUUCCUUCCCCAGCCAGAGCAAACAAGGGGCAGGCAGAUUCCUCGUACUCCCAUGGUGACGAUGAUGAUGGCAGCCAUCACUGUGGCCAUUCUACAGGUGGAGAAACAAGGACUCAGAGAAGCUUACCCGGAUUUCCCAAGGGAGACCCAGAUCCUGCUUCUGCUGGCCUCCUCCUGGAAAAUGAUCAUUUGACAAAUAGAAAUCUCCAAAUUGCUUUGAUUUGGUGUGUUUCCUCAGAACUCUGGAACAGAUAUUGAUGGUUUCCUCUGGAAGAAGAGAAAAGUGAGAAAUCAGCUCACUUUAAGAUAAAUUAAGUCUUUAAGCUUGGUGUGAAAAAUGACACCCGGGACACAUACCCAGCCGGGAAUUUGUGAUGGCACAGGCCCGUGCUGACUGCCUUGAGAGCAAGCAAAAUGUUAUCAGGAAGACAGAGAUGCAUCUGUGCCCAGUCUGUUCAGAAUUUUAAGCACCAAUGUCAAUUGCACUUCAGACUGAUAAAGAGAAUAAUCCUCAUCAGUUUGUCAUUGGCCCUUGUCUCUGGGUUAUUCCUCCAGGGGUCUGUGGCAACCUCGGAUGGUGUAUUAGUCAGGUCCUCAACAGAAGCAGAACCAAUAGGAUGCAUGUGUAUAUUACAUUAUUACCUCUCCAUAGAUGGAUGGAUGGAUAGAUAGAUAAUAUAUCCCUAUAUCUACAUAUCCAUCUAGAGAGAGAUUUACCUUAAGAAAUUGGCUCACAGGGUUGUGGGGCUGCUAAGUCCAAAAGCUGCAGGGCAGGCUGGCUGGCUGGAGACCGAGGGAAGAGCUGAUGCUGCAGAUCAAGUCUGAAGCCAGAGAAGGUUGGCAGAAUUCUUCGUCCUCGGGGGACCUCAGUCUUUUUUCUUCUAAGACCUUCAACUGACUGGAUGAGGUCCAUGCCUGUUAUGGAGGGUAAUCUGCUUUACUCAAAUCCUACUGAUGUAAAUGUUAACCUCAUGUAAAAA
This 5794-nucleotide long non-coding RNA is filed under the name Equus caballus (horse). RNAcentral describes it as "lncRNA (ENSECAG00000043503.2)". The record is from RNAcentral. Lineage: Eukaryota; Metazoa; Chordata; Mammalia; Perissodactyla; Equidae.